UCAGGCCUAACACAUGCAAGUCGAACGGUAGAGGGGCAACCCUCGAGAGUGGCGAACGGGUGAGUAAAGCAUCGGAACGUACCCAGUUGUGGGGGAUAGCCCGGCGACAGCCGGAUUAAUACCGCAUACGCACUGAGGUGGAAAGCGGGGGACUCGCAAGGGCCUCGCGCAAUUGGAGCGGCCGAUGUCAGAUUAGGUAGUUGGUGGGGUAAAGGCCUACCAAGCCGACGAUCUGUAGCUGGUCUGAGAGGAUGACCAGCCACACUGGGAGUGAGACACGGCCCAGACUCCUACGGGAGGCAGCAGUGGGGAAUUUUG
RNAcentral lists this ribosomal RNA (318 nucleotides) under uncultured bacterium. RNAcentral describes it as "bacterial SSU rRNA". It matches the Rfam family "Bacterial small subunit ribosomal RNA", at positions 43 to 366 of the family's 1533-position model. The record is from RNAcentral.